Molecule: long non-coding RNA, 140 nt
Organism: Ipomoea nil (Japanese morning glory)
Lineage: Eukaryota; Viridiplantae; Streptophyta; Magnoliopsida; Solanales; Convolvulaceae
Exons: 3
Source: RefSeq, a predicted model, not a curated record
CCGGUCGCCAUAGGAGGACCCACGCGCCCUCACGCGCCGCCGUCACCGAGCAGCUCCGACGCCACGCGCCGGCGCGUGAGGCGGUUUCCGGCGACUUCGCCGGUCGAUUUUUUCCUGCUCCAGUCUCGCCUCGUCGUGCU